Molecule: ribosomal RNA, 358 nt
Filed under: uncultured Pseudomonas sp.
Lineage: Bacteria; Pseudomonadati; Pseudomonadota; Gammaproteobacteria; Pseudomonadales; Pseudomonadaceae
Description: bacterial SSU rRNA
Rfam family: Bacterial small subunit ribosomal RNA
Source: RNAcentral
ACAAUAUACAAGGUGCUGCAUGGUUGUCGUCAGCUCGUGCCGUGAGGGUGUCGGGUUAAGUCCCAUAACGAGCGCAACCCUUGUCCUUAGUUACCAGCACGUUAUGGUGGGCACUCUAAGGAGACUGCCGGUGACAAACCGGAGGAAGGUGGGGAUGACGUCAAGUCAUCAUGGCCCUUACGGCCUGGGCUACACACGUGCUACAAUGGUCGGUACAAAGGGUUGCCAAGCCGCGAGGUGGAGCUAAUCCCAUAAAACCGAUCGUAGUCCGGAUCGCAGUCUGCAACUCGACUGCGUGAAGUCGGAAUCGUUAGUAAUCGUGAAUCAGAAUGUCACGGUGAAUACGUUCCCGGGCCUU